Molecule: RNA transcript, 4524 nt
Organism: Oryza sativa Japonica Group (Japanese rice)
Lineage: Eukaryota; Viridiplantae; Streptophyta; Magnoliopsida; Poales; Poaceae
Gene name: pentatricopeptide repeat-containing protein At3g23020
Source: RefSeq, a predicted model, not a curated record
GCCCCUUUAGCCGGUGCAACGGAUUCCACCAACGCUGUCCUGUCCUAUCCUCCCAUCUCCAUUGCUCCCACGCAGCCACUGCCGCUGCGGUGGUUCCGGAGCGCCGGCCGCCGCCUCCGCCGCGACGACCUCACUUUCUGCUAUCAACCUGUAGCAAACCAGGAGCAGCGUCGGCCUCCUCCUCCGCCUCCGAGCUGUGUCGUUCUCCGGAUUGAGCCGGGAGUAGCCGUGGAAGCUGAGGCCGAGGUGCAUUUGUGGUUUUCUUGGCGCGGAUAAAGGCUGGGGGUGGGGAGAUGAUGAGCCCGUGCGAUUGCUUCCUCCAUGCCACCGCGCCGCCGCUGAAUCCGCCGUCGAGUCUCGCGGCUGCGGCGCCGGGAGCUCGCUGGAGGGAUAGCAACCUCUCGUUCCAGAGCAGCGCAGUGUCUGCGCCGGCGAGAAACGUCGAGACUUCCCCCAAUUUGGUGGUUCCAUGUACGGUUCAUACGCAGGCUGCUGAAAGGAAGAAGAGUGGGAGGUGGGUGAAGUAUGGCGGGUCGAUUCCGGCGAUGCUGGAGGCGCUUGAGCGUAAUGAGGAUAUCGGGGAGGCGCUCCGGCCAUGGAGGGACACGAUGAGCAACCGGGAGAGGACAAUCAUUCUCAAGGAGCAGAAGGAUUGGAGGAGAGCGGUUGAAAUUUUCAACUGGUUUCGCAGGAGGAGGCGCCAUGAGGUCAAUGUGAUACACUACAAUGUUGUUCUCUGCGCGGUUGGGAGGGCGAGGAGAUGGGACCUUGUUGCUAGGCUAUGGCAUGAGAUGCAUUCCGGUGGUGUUGCGCCGGAUAAUUCGACGUAUGGCACGCUUAUUGAUGUGCACUGCAAAGGGGGCAGAGAGAGGAUGGCAUUGCUUUGGCUUGGCGACAUGAUCAAGCGUGGGUUGCUGCCUGAUGAGAUUACUAUGAGUAUUGUGCUUCAGGUACACAAGAAGGCUGGGGAGUAUGAGAAAGCCGAGCUUUUCUUCAAGAGAUGGUCCUUGGAGUCAGAUGUAAAGAUGAAAGGGCAUCCUUGCUAUAGUUUGUAUACUUACAACACCUUGAUCGAUACUUAUGGAAAGGCUGGGCAACUUGAGAAAGUAUCAGAUACAUUCAAUCAGAUGUUAAGAGAAGGUGUUUCACCAAAUGUUGUUACAUUUAACACAAUGAUUCAUGUUUGGGGUAAACACCGUAGAAUGGAGCAAGUAGCUUCUCUGAUGAGAACGAUGGAGGAGUUUCAGUGCCUUCCGGACACUAGGACGUAUAAUAUUCUGAUCUCGCUAUACAGAGAAAUCAAUGAUAUUGAUGUUGCGGAGUACUAUUUCAGGAAGAUGAAAGCUGAAAAUCUGCUUCCAGAUGUUGUGAGCUGCCGCACUCUCUUGUAUGGAUACUCUAUCAAGGGCAUGGUCACUGAAGCACAAGCUCUUCUUAAAGAAAUGUAUGAGAGGAACAUGGUGAUUGAUGAAUACACACAAUCAGCUGUGACGAGGAUGUAUGUCGAUGCUGGGAUGCUUGAGCAAGCGUGGUGUUGGUUUGAGAAGUUCAAUUAUCAGUUAAACUCUGAGUGCUUUUCUGCAAAUAUUGAUGCAUUUGGGGAGAGAGGGCAUAUACUCCUUGCAGAGAAGGCUUUUAUGUGCUGCAUAAAAAGGAAGAUGCUAAGCACUUGUGUUUGUAAUGUUAUGAUCAAAGCAUAUGGUUUAGUAGAGAAGCUUGACGAGGCUUGUGAGAUUGCUGAUGGCAUGGAGAGGUAUGGCAUUUUGCCUGAUUACUUGACUUACAGUUCUCUGAUUCAUCUAAUGUCAACCGCUAAAUUGCCAGAGAAAGCUCUUUACUAUUUGAGAAAGAUGCAGGCAGCAAAAUUGCUGAUUGAUUGUGUUCCUUAUUCUGUGGUAAUCAGUUGCUUUGCUAAGAAUGGCAAUUUACACAUGGUCGACUGCCUGUUUAGAGAAAUGAUCACUUCAGGGAUCCAAGCUGAUACUUAUGUUUACUCUAUCUUAAUUGAUGCAUAUGCUGAAGUUGGAGAUGUCCAGAAAGCUGAAGCAUAUUUUGGUUUGUUGAAAAAGGCUGGUUUAUGUGAGAGUGCUACAAUAUAUAAUUCUUUGAUAAAGCUCUACACAAAGGUAGUGUAUCUUGCAGAGGCACAGAAAACGUACAAGCUUCUCAAAUCAUUAAAUGCAGACACCAACCUUUAUGCGUCAAACUGCAUGAUUGACCUCUAUAGUGACCAUUGUAUGGUGAAGGAAGCACGUGAGAUUUUUGAGAAUUUGAAGGUUACAGGAAAGGCAAAUGAAUUUUCACAUGCAAUGAUGGUGUGCUUGUACAAGAAAAUUGCUCGCUUUGAUGAAGCCCACAGGAUUUCUAAGAAAAUGCAAGCUUCAGGAUUUCUAACUCAGGCAUUAAGCUACAACUCUGUGAUACAAAUGUAUGUGUCUGGUGGAAGAAUGGAAGAUGCCCUUAAAAUAUUUCAGAAGAUGUUGGCAUCGAACACACCACCAAAUGAUGCAACAUUCAAGGCACUAAAGAUUAUUUUAGUGAAACGAGGAGUUUCAAAUAAUGAUAUUAGAAGGUUAGAAUUGCUCAGAAAAAAUAGAAUUCAUGAUUGCUUGCGCCACUGGUACAGGAUGCUAUGCAUGGCGGUAAGAUCAGGUGGUAGUUCUUCUCGACGUAUUAGUGAUAAUUCAGCUCUGAGGACGCAUAUUUUUGACAUUGGCAAUUCCAAGAGUGGCAAAAGAAAUACAAGAAAGCAUGUAACUUCAUAAAUAUUUCGAGUCUAACUGGUUUAACAUCUUCGAUGUUGACACAACACGGUGAUGAUCCAUCUACUAAACAGUUGAUGGAAAGCACCGUGUUAUCUUCAAAAGAAAACCCCAUGACCACUGUUUGACUGGUGCUCUAAGAAUGUGGUGAAAUUUCCAAUGGAUCAGGCUAGAUUACCGCAGGGAUGCAGGAUUAUACUCCGGGCUAGGAGAUGCUGCUGACAUAUGGUGUGCUCAAAGAUGAGAUGGGUGUGAUACCUGUGAUCAAUGGAUGAUACGCAUCAUUGCUGGUCUGGUUCACCUCAGCUGGCUACUGAAAGCUCUGCAGCUAGCUCUGCCAUCUCCCACGUCAAGCUGAGGCUGCGUUCUUUUCAGGCUAGUCGUCAUCGUUUUCCGUUAGCACGCUUUUCAAACUACUAAACGGUGCAUUUUUCUGUAAAAAGUUUCUAUACGAAAGUUACUUAAAAAAAUCAUAUUAGUCCAUUUUUUUUAAAAAGAAUAGCAGAUACUUAAUUAAUCAUGUGCUAAUGGAUCGCUCCGUUUUCCGUAAUCACUGUUGACAAGAAGAAAGAACGCAGCCUGAGCCCGUUUGCUUCUCCUCACCGCCACCCCAGCUCACCGUCUCGCUCACCUCAAAUCACCCCGUCCCCUCCCGCCGCUGCCGCUGCCGCUGCCUGACGACAAGACCUCUCCUCUCCGCUCCGCGGCGGCCGCCGAUGAAUCGGAAUUUACCCUUCUGCCCCGGAUACUCCAUGGCGACGACGAGGGGCACAUCGGUAAAAAGCGCGGGGGAGGUCGCCUCGCCGGCGAGACGGCGGUUGAAUUUACCCAUCUACCCCGCCCCAUCCCGGCCCGUCGCUAUCCUCUCCGUGGGGAGGGGUAGAAGGGUAAAAGCACCCGCGCCGCGUUCGCGCGGGAAAUCCGGGAGGGGGAUUUGUACUACUGUGCUCGUUUUUAUUAAUACCGUCGCUUCGCUUCUGCUGCUGGGGUUUCGUGUUCAUCUCGCCUUGCCCUUGGCUCGCGUCGGGGCGGAUGCGGAGGCGGCGUCGCUGUCCCCGAUCGAAUGCUGCCGCUGCUGCGCCCCCUCACUUUCGAGAUCUGAGCGCGUGACGCCCGCCUCUCCGGCUCCGAGGAGAAAUCAAUGGAGAACGGAACCAAGGCUGUCGAUGUUGGGCAAAGGCAACUCAAGAUCAUGGAAGAAUGUCUUGCUGCAACGAUCCCAGAUUCCCAAUCUUUUGUACAUUCUGCUCUCCUCUCGGGCUUGGCCAGCAUAACAUGAAGUCCAAGCCCCAAAGAAACAGCCCCUUGUAAGAGGGGUUCUUCGUCUGCACGUGCCCAACAACAACUCCUGCAACCGUUUUCUCCACUGACACCGAUGAACUCAUCCGGGUGACCUGCUUCUCCAUUAACCUAUGGAUGAAGCUCCGUUGAAAAUCCAAGUAGAAGUACUGCAUAGCCGUCUACUAAUCUCUUCUUACACACUGCUUAUAUUUUGAUGUGUUUCCUUCCAUGGUUCGUUACUGUAUCGAGUUCAUGUAUUAGUACUUGGUUAUGCUGCCAGCUUUUGAUGCCUUCUGUACGGUCUCGGUGCCAAUAUUGGUUGGAUCGAAUGCUUGGUGCGAUCUUACUACCACUGUUAGAUUCCACAAGGCUGUUCAUACAAUUGGAUUUUGUCUGCAGUUCUAGUAAUUGUCAGACAAAAUUAUGUGUGUCGAACUACAGAUGUGAGGUGUCUUUGUAUAUAUCCUUUUUGACCUUUCUA